Molecule: long non-coding RNA, 352 nt
Filed under: Oryza brachyantha (malo sina)
Lineage: Eukaryota; Viridiplantae; Streptophyta; Magnoliopsida; Poales; Poaceae
Description: long non-coding RNA (OBRA_LNC001132)
Source: RNAcentral
CAGAACAAGGCGUGCUAGGCUCCGCUUCAUGAUCAUGCAGUGCCGGCCUGAUCCAUCGGGUGAUCCAUUAACGAUGAAUUUCUCGAGUGAGCACGUCCGUCCGUCGAUCCGUCGCCGGCGGUUGGAAUGUGAUCGUCGUGAUAAAUCUUGGUGAUGAAAUGUUUAGUUGUGCACUUGUGUUGUUGUAUGGUCUCAUACUCUGAUCUGUAUACCAGCAGUGCUGUUGCCAUUUAUCUGCAUACCGCAUUUCCCCUCUCUCUCUCGCUGUUGAUGUUAUUUACCGAGUGAUAAAUCUAAGAGUAACUUUAUAGUGUUUAAGUAGGUAUCGAAAUAGUGCUUGAGUAGAUACCGA